RNAcentral lists this ribosomal RNA (880 nucleotides) under Epicoccum sp. BB-090.14. RNAcentral describes it as "eukaryotic LSU rRNA". The stretch from base 245 to 880 matches the Rfam family "Eukaryotic large subunit ribosomal RNA", at positions 1 to 638 of the family's 3401-position model. The record is from RNAcentral. Lineage: Eukaryota; Fungi; Ascomycota; Dothideomycetes; Pleosporales; Didymellaceae.
AUCGCAACUCAUGAAUCAUCCAAUCUUUGAACGCACAUUGCGCCCCUUGGUAUUCCAUGGGGCAUGCCUGUUCGAGCGUCAUUUGUACCUUCAAGCUCUGCUUGGUGUUGGGUGCUUUGCCUCACCUCCGCGCGCAUACUCGCCUUGAAAACAAUUGGCGAGCCGGCGUAUUGAUUUCGGAGCGCAGUACAUCUCGCGCUUUGCACUCAUAACGACGACGUCCAAAAGUACAUUUUUACACUCUUGACCUCGGAUCAGGUAGGGAUACCCGCUGAACUUUAAGCAUAUCAAUAAGCGGAGGAAAAGAAACCAACCAGGGAUUGCCCUAGUAACGGCGAGUGAAGCGGCAACAGCUCAAAUUUGAAAAUUCUGGCGUUUUUUGGCGUCCGAGUUUGUAAUUUGCAAAGGGCGCUUUGGCAUUGGCCAGCGGUCCAAGUUCCUUGGAACAGGACGUCACAGAGGGUGAGAAUUCCCGGUACGGUGGUCGCUAGCCUUUACCGUGUAAAGCCCCUUCGACGAGUCGAGUUGUUUGGGAAUGCAGCUCUAAAUGGGAGGUAAAUUCCUUCUAAAGAUAAAUACUGGCCAGAGACCGAUAGCGCACAAGUAGAGUGAUCGAAAGAUGAAAAGCACUUUGGAAAGAGAGUUAAAGAGCACGGUGAAAUUGUUGAAAGGAGAAGCGCUUGCAAGCCAGACUUGCCUGUAGUUGCUCAUCCGGGUUUCUACCCGGUGCACUCUUGUACGGGCAGGCCAGCAUCAGUUUGGGCGGUUGGAUAAAGGUCUCUGUCAUGUACCUCCCUUCGGGGAGAUCUUAUAGGGGAGACGACAUGCAACCAGCCUGGACUGAGGUCCGCGUUCUGAUAGGAUGCUGGGUAAUAAGGAG